This 256-nucleotide ribosomal RNA is filed under the name uncultured bacterium. Its description in RNAcentral is "partial 16S ribosomal RNA". It matches the Rfam family "Bacterial small subunit ribosomal RNA", at positions 524 to 776 of the family's 1533-position model. The record is from RNAcentral.
UACGGGGGGGGGCAAGCGUUGUUCGGAAUUACUGGGCGUAAAGGGUUUGUAGGUGGCCGGCUAAGUCAGACGUGAAAUCCCUCAGCUUAACUGGGGGAACUGCGUCUGAAACUGAUCGGCUCGAGUGCAGGAGAGGAACGCGGAAUUCCAGGUGUAGCGGUGAAAUGCGUAGAUAUCUGGAGGAACACCGGUGGCGAAGGCGGGUCUCUGGGCCGAUAUUGACGCUGAGGAGCGAAAAGCGUGGGGAGCAAACAGG